UACGAACUGUGCGAACGUUAUUCGGAAUCACUGGGCUUAAAGGGUGCGUAGGCGGUUACCUAAGUCAGGUGUGAAAUCUCUCGGCUCAACCGGGAAACUGCGCUUGAUACUGGGUGGCUAGAGUGAGGUAGGGGUGUGUGGAACUUCCGGUGGAGCGGUGAAAUGUGUAGAUAUCGGAAGGAACGCCAGCAGCGAAAGCGGCACACUGGGCCUUUUCUGACGCUGAGGCACGAAAGCUAGGGGAGCGAACGGG
This 253-nucleotide ribosomal RNA is filed under the name uncultured bacterium. RNAcentral describes it as "partial 16S ribosomal RNA". It matches the Rfam family "Bacterial small subunit ribosomal RNA", at positions 524 to 776 of the family's 1533-position model. The record is from RNAcentral.